UACGGAGGGUGCAAGCGUUAAUCGGAAUUACUGGGCGUAAAGCGCGCGUAGGCGGUUUGUUAAGUUGGAUGUGAAAGCCCUGGGCUCAACCUGGGAACUGCAUUCAAAACUGGCAGGCUAGAGUACGAGAGAGGGGGGUAGAAUUUCUAGUGUAGCGGUGAAAUGCGUAGAUAUUAGAAGGAAUACCAGUGGCGAAGGCGGCCCCCUGGCUCGAUACUGACGCUGAGGUGCGAAAGCGUGGGGAGCAAACAGG
Molecule: ribosomal RNA, 253 nt
Filed under: uncultured bacterium
Lineage: Bacteria
Description: partial 16S ribosomal RNA
Rfam family: Bacterial small subunit ribosomal RNA
Source: RNAcentral